CAGGCUUAUGCAAAUACAGCUCAUGGAAGAUCAGAAUGUAUAAGAAUCUGUUUAUUGGAUACCUUCAAAGUCACUAAGGAUUUUAAAAAAUAAAAUGAAGAAAAUGAUGUAGAUUAAUUGCAAAAUGCAUGCAGAGGAAGAAAUUUUGAAAUAAAAAGGAAGGAGGAAUCAUUCGGCAAAAGGAGUAAAGAACACAUUUUGGAAAAAUGAGAUACAACUAACUGCUGUUAAAACUGAGACUUGGGCUCCUUUCCUGCUCACUCUUUCUGGACAUUUCUGUUCUUUUUUCGUGAGACAUUUGGCUGAUAAACUCCAUCCAGAUGUUUGGACCCUCCCAAUAGAUACUUUCAUAAGUCUAGUGUUGGGAACGGUCGAAAAAACAGAUGGAAAAAUAUAGUUCCUGAGUCAAAAUCUUUAAUAAGACAUGGAAACAUAAUGAAACUCUCAAAUAGACAUGGAGUUGGGAACAGAAUUGUAAGAAGUAACUCUCAAUUGUACGUGUGUGUCACAAAGUAAGAAUAAUAAAAGUCUACCCUACAUAUCUCCAAUUAAUCUGUUUCUCCCCAUGCUAUCCCCACAAUAUUCUUACAAGCCUAUGACAAACUUCGUAAACUAGAGAUAGGUUGUAAUCAAGGAGCUACAUUAUCAGAUAUCUAUUUCCAUGAGGGGAGGUAAUUUCUGAUCAAUUAUGUACUUUUGAAGUUUCUUUUUGCCUCUUUUCAGUUGUUUGGGGAUAUUUGUGAAUGGCAAAUAGUAAUACGUAACUAACAUUUCUUUCCUUAAAAUGGUCUUUUUUUCUUAUGAGUGGCUUCAGUUGAACUAGUUUGUCUUCUGAAGACAUACAAAGGCAUUUCUGACUUCGGCCCCUCUUGUACACCAGACCGUUGUAGCUCUUCCAUCCCACAAGAGUGAAGACUCAGGAGUCAGAACUUAGAACUUGAGCCCAAGCCACCAGAUACUUGAGUUAAGGGGUCUGGUGGGCCUUUAAAACGAUCACAUUCCCUUAUUUGCUUUCAUUUUCUUUGUCUGUAAAAUGGGGAUGUUAUGGACUAUGUUCUCUCCACCAUCUCAAAUUCCUGUGUUGAAGACCUUAUCCCUAGUACCUCACAGUGUUGCUGUUUUUGGAGA
This is a long non-coding RNA of Cercocebus atys (sooty mangabey), 1128 nucleotides long. RefSeq lists it as uncharacterized. The transcript is spliced from 3 exons. The record is from RefSeq and is a predicted model, not a curated record. Lineage: Eukaryota; Metazoa; Chordata; Mammalia; Primates; Cercopithecidae.